GUGAAUUAGAGUUCAGUCUCUAGUCUCUAACCCAUAUUAGUAUUUUAGUUGGGUUUUCCAGGCGGACAAUACAAAUUCACCUUAACUUCUCCGCAAGUAUUUGUGUCUCUUCCUUUUAUCUUUCCCUUUUAAACACCAAAUAAAUAUCCUCCUGCUCUCUCUUUUUUCUCUUCUUUUCUUUCUUUUUUUGUUUUUUCGUAAAUUUGGACCUGACUCUUAUGAUGAGAUCUUAUUAAUAUAAUUGGGUUUAGGGUUUGGAUGAUAUCGAUGCGUUAUGGCAGGAGUUGGAAUUCGGAAUAUAUUGAAGCCUAUCGUUUUUCCAUUCAGAAGAAUCCAAUACAUUAUUGAUCAAUAAGAAAUGACGCUUGAGAUUUGGGUUACAAAAUUAGAGCCCCACGGGAACAGACCCCUGUUUUUAGUUUUUGCAGAGGAGGAGGCUGGUGAGCCAAAAGAGUGGCAUCUCUAGGCUUGAAUCAUAACCCCACAGAGCUGUUAUGUUGGCCUUGAAUCUCUUAAUCUGGUAGUUUUAACCAAGAGCUACCGCUUCCCACAAAAAUCUGUAAAUGGAGAUUGGCAGGCAGAAGCUUCAGCCACGACGGAGCCCGGGGGGGGGGGGGGAUGGAUGUGGUGGGAGUGAAAUCAGCGGCCAAGAGCUUCAUUUGCUCAUUCUCAAAGGAGGGUGAGUUUCCAAAACUAAAACACUCUAGUUAAUUGUUUGAUAUGUAAUUAUGCAUGCUGCACUUUCCAAGAGGGUGGCAUGCGUUUACUUUCAAGGUCGGCAAUCGCAUCGAAUACUUUAUUUUCACUUUCAUUGUAGGUGUUAAAGAAAAAGACCGACACUUCCAACGUAUUAAAGGGACAAAUGACUGUAAACAUGAGAAUUCAAAAACACGCAUGAAAUAAUAAUAAUAAUAAUAAUAACAACAAAAGGCGAAGUCAAUAAAAGCAUGCAAAUGGCUUGAAUUGAAUAUGAAGUCUCGAUCGAUGAUCGCUACCCAC
This 999-nucleotide long non-coding RNA is filed under the name Gossypium raimondii (Peruvian cotton). RNAcentral's name for it is "long non-coding RNA (GRAI_LNC001096)". The record is from RNAcentral. Lineage: Eukaryota; Viridiplantae; Streptophyta; Magnoliopsida; Malvales; Malvaceae.